RNAcentral lists this ribosomal RNA (253 nucleotides) under uncultured bacterium. Its description in RNAcentral is "partial 16S ribosomal RNA". It matches the Rfam family "Bacterial small subunit ribosomal RNA", at positions 524 to 776 of the family's 1533-position model. The record is from RNAcentral.
UACGUAGGGUGCGAGCGUUGUCCGGAAUUAUUGGGCGUAAAGAGCUUGUAGGCGGUUUGUCGCGUCUGCUGUGAAAAUCCGGGGCUCAACCCCGGACUUGCAGUGGGUACGGGCAGACUAGAGUGUGGUAGGGGAGACUGGAAUUCCUGGUGUAGCGGUGAAAUGCGCAGAUAUCAGGAGGAACACCGGUGGCGAAGGCGGUUCUCUGGGCCUUACCUGACACUGAGGAGCGAAAGCGUGGGGAGCGAACAGG